AUUGAACGCUAGGCGGCAUGCUUUACACAUGCAAGUCGAGCGGCAGCGCGGGACUCAGGCAACUGAGCCCUGGCGGCGAGCGGCGAACGGGUGAGGAAUACAUCGGAACGUACCCCGGAGUGGGGGAUAACGCCGCGAAAGCGGCGCUAAUACCGCAUAUGCUCUGUGGAGGAAAGUGGGGGACCCGCAAGGGCCGUCACGCUCUGGGCGCGGCCGAUGUCCGAUAGCUAGUUGGUGAGGUAAUGGCUCACCAAGGCGACGAUCGGUAGCUGGUCUGAGAGGAUGAUCAGCCACACUGGGACUGAGACACGGCCCAGACUCCUACGGGAGGCAGCAGUGGGGAAUUUUGGACAAUGGGGCAA
This 362-nucleotide ribosomal RNA is filed under the name uncultured bacterium. Its description in RNAcentral is "bacterial SSU rRNA". It matches the Rfam family "Bacterial small subunit ribosomal RNA", at positions 29 to 379 of the family's 1533-position model. The record is from RNAcentral.